This 91-nucleotide small RNA is filed under the name Sporolactobacillus inulinus. RNAcentral describes it as "Bacillaceae-1 RNA". It matches the Rfam family "Bacillaceae-1 RNA". RNAcentral also lists the same sequence under 1 other name. Lineage: Bacteria; Bacillati; Bacillota; Bacilli; Caryophanales; Sporolactobacillaceae. The record is from Rfam by way of RNAcentral.
AGGAGAGGAACGUCUGCUAAGUGCGCAUAAGUCAUCACAUCCUGUGAAAGUAAGUCCUGUAUGCAACGCAUAAGUCACCGCGUCCUGCGGA